CGAAAGGCGUAGUCGAUGGGAAACGGGUUAAUAUUCCCGUACUUGGUGUUACUGCGAAGGGGGGACGGAGAAGGCUAUGUUGGCCGGGCGACGGUUGUCCCGGUUUAAGCGUGUAGGCUGGUUUUCCAGGCAAAUCCGGAAAAUCAAGGCUGAGGCGUGACGACGAGGCACUACGGUGCUGAAGCAACAAAUGCCCUGCUUCCAGGAAAAGCCUCUAAGCAUCAGGUAACAUCAAAUCGUACCCCAAACCGACACAGGUGGUCAGGUAGAGAAUACCAAGGCGCUUGAGAGAACUCGGGUGAAGGAACUAGGCAAAAUGGUGCCGUAACUUCGGGAGAAGGCACGCUGACACGUAGGUGAAGUGAUUUACUCAUGGAGCUGAAGUCAGUCGAAGAUACCAGCUGGCUGCAACUGUUUAUUAAAAACACAGCACUGUGCAAACACGAAAGUGGACGUAUACGGUGUGACGCCUGCCCGGUGCCGGAAGGUUAAUUGAUGGGGUCAGCGCAAGCGAAGCUCCUGAUCGAAGCCCCGGUAAACGGCGGCCGUAACUAUAACGGUCCUAAGGUAGCGAAAUUCCUUGUCGGGUAAGUUCCGACCUGCACGAAUGGCGUAAUGAUGGCCAGGCUGUCUCCACCCGAGACUCAGUGAAAUUGAACUCGCUGUGAAGAUGCAGUGUACCCGCGGCAAGACGGAAAGACCCCGUGAACCUUUACUAUAGCUUGACACUGAACAUUGAGCCUUGAUGUGUAGGAUAGGUGGGAGGCUUUGAAGUGUGGACGCCAGUCUGCAUGGAGCCAACCUUGAAAUACCACCCUUUAAUGUUUGAUGUUCUAACGUGGACCCGUAAUCCGGGUUGCGGACAGUGUCUGGUGGGUAGUUUGACUGGGGCGGUCUCCUCCUAAAGAGUAACGGAGGAGCACGAAGGUUGGCUAAUCCUGGUCGGACAUCAGGAGGUUAGUGCAAUGGCAUAAGCCAGCUUGACUGCGAGCGUGACGGCGCGAGCAGGUGCGAAAGCAGGUCAUAGUGAUCCGGUGGUUCUGAAUGGAAGGGCCAUCGCUCAACGGAUAAAAGGUACUCCGGGGAUAACAGGCUGAUACCGCCCAAGAGUUCAUAUCGACGGCGGUGUUUGGCACCUCGAUGUCGGCUCAUCACAUCCUGGGGCUGAAGUAGGUCCCAAGGGUAUGGCUGUUCGCCAUUUAAAGUGGUACGCGAGCUGGGUUUAGAACGUCGUGAGACAGUUCGGUCCCUAUCUGCCGUGGGCGCUGGAGAACUGAGGGGGGCUGCUCCUAGUACGAGAGGACCGGAGUGGACGCAUCACUGGUGUUCGGGUUGUCAUGCCAAUGGCACUGCCCGGUAGCUAAAUGCGGAAGAGAUAAGUGCUGAAAGCAUCUAAGCACGAAACUUGCCCCGAG
RNAcentral lists this ribosomal RNA (1415 nucleotides) under Salmonella enterica. Its description in RNAcentral is "partial 23S ribosomal RNA". It matches the Rfam family "Bacterial large subunit ribosomal RNA", at positions 1403 to 2803 of the family's 2925-position model. The record is from RNAcentral. Lineage: Bacteria; Pseudomonadati; Pseudomonadota; Gammaproteobacteria; Enterobacterales; Enterobacteriaceae.